GCCCACAUGACCCAAUGGCAGAGGUGCGCGGUACCGGCCCCCUCGGGGGGACCCGUACACAAUCCGCAGAGUUCCCGGUUCGACUCCGGGUGUGGGCA
This 98-nucleotide transfer RNA is filed under the name Streptomyces sp. BA2. RNAcentral describes it as "tRNA-OTHER". Lineage: Bacteria; Bacillati; Actinomycetota; Actinomycetes; Kitasatosporales; Streptomycetaceae. The record is from RNAcentral.